CUCAAAAUUCGUUGCCCCAAUAGGUUACAUAUUCAAAAAUAUCGGAAAAUUGAGUGGGGAAGAUACCAGAUUUUUUUAAAGAAGAUGCUUUAGCGUACAAAAUUAAAAUUUAAUUAAUUAAUUAUGUUGCUAGUUUAUAUAAUUAACAUUUUUGUGGUAAAAUUUAAAAAUUCUUACACUUGUGCACGGAUCUCGGGCCAUACAUAUCGUCAUGGCAGGCCAUAGUUUGCCCAUCACUGGACUAGUUGAUUUUUUAUUUGAUAUAUUCAUCUAUCAGUUGUUUUUUCAGACAUUAAAGAUUAUUAGUUUUCUCUAAUGCAAUGGCAGUGAGAGGAGUAUAAAAUUAGGUGAAGGUUACUUAAACUGCAAACAAACUAUAUCAUUUUAGCUUCCAAGAUAAAAAAACAAAAAGCAUUUUAUGUAACUUCUAUAUAGAAUGAUUAAGAAAUACUUGCUCAGAUUUUCAAGAUAGAUGUACUGAAACAUGAUAAUGAAACAAAUUUCUAUGAACAUAAAUCCUUAAAUGCUUUAUUUCAGCAAUAGACUCUAUAACAAGAUAUCAGAGCAAGUGUUUGAAAUGCCUCCCACUGAAUGCAAUACAACUUUCACAACACUGUACCAUGGGCUGCUGAACAUACUGAAAAAUGCCAAGGCUGUAACAAAUGUCAUCACAUCCAUAUCAUCAUUGUGGGUACCUCUCUCUGUACAGAUGCUGAACUGCACUGCUGCUUCCAUUUAUGUGUCCAUGUGUGUAAUGGAUAUCAGCCACUUGGCAUUAGUGUAACAAUGCUUGUUGCUUUGCAUCUUAAUUGUUAACAACAUUGUGAAGUGUCAAUCAGAUGUCAACUGAGCAGUAUAUGAAAUGCAAUUAAUGCCUCUCUACCCUACCUACUAUGGGAUCAAUC
This 905-nucleotide long non-coding RNA is filed under the name Androctonus crassicauda. The record is from RNAcentral. Lineage: Eukaryota; Metazoa; Arthropoda; Arachnida; Scorpiones; Buthidae.